CACCUCGUCAUCCGGGGAGUAGCCGGCCGUCCUUCGGGGCGGAGAUCGCGUCAACAUGCUUGGGGGAGACCCCAUGGUGCGAUCAAGCUCUUGAGCCUUGGCAAGACCGAUGACACCGCACCUUCGUCCAGCCGGGCGGGGGGUGCCGGUGUCGUCCGUCAACUGCCAGC
This 170-nucleotide small RNA is filed under the name Sphingomonas sp. RNAcentral describes it as "Manganese sequence". It matches the Rfam family "Manganese Mn2+ riboswitch aptamer (yybP-ykoY)". From Rfam's summary of the family: This RNA was originally discovered in E. coli during a large scale screen and was named SraF. Lineage: Bacteria; Pseudomonadati; Pseudomonadota; Alphaproteobacteria; Sphingomonadales; Sphingomonadaceae. The record is from RNAcentral.